Molecule: ribosomal RNA, 492 nt
Filed under: uncultured bacterium
Lineage: Bacteria
Description: bacterial SSU rRNA
Rfam family: Bacterial small subunit ribosomal RNA
Source: RNAcentral
GAUGAACGCUAGCUACAGGCUUAACACAUGCAAGUCGAGGGGCAGCAUGAACAAAGCUUGCUUUGUUUGAUGGCGACCGGCGCACGGGUGCGUAACACGUAUCCAAUCUGCCCGCGGCUCGGGUAUAGCCCAUCGAAAGAUGGAUUAAUACCCGAUGGUGUGGUUUCUCCGCAUGGGGUUUCCACUAAAGGUUUUCCGGCCGCGGAUGAGGAUGCGUAUGAUUAGGUAGUAGGCGGGGUAACGGCCCACCUAGCCUUCGAUCAUUAGGGGUUCUGAGAGGAAGGUCCCCCACACUGGAACUGAGACACGGUCCAGACUCCUACGGGAGGCAGCAGUGAGGAAUAUUGGUCAAUGGGGCGAGGAGCCUGAACCAGCCAAGUAGCGUGAAGGAAGACUGCCCUAUGGGUUGUAAACUUCUUUGUUCGGGAAUAAAGUGCAGUACGCGUACUGUUUUGUAUGUACCGUUCGAAUAAGCAUCGGCUAAUUCCGGUG